RNAcentral lists this ribosomal RNA (261 nucleotides) under uncultured archaeon. Its description in RNAcentral is "partial 16S ribosomal RNA". It matches the Rfam family "Archaeal small subunit ribosomal RNA", at positions 748 to 1008 of the family's 1478-position model. The record is from RNAcentral.
AGGGUGUAAACGCCGCAGACUUGGUGUUGGGAACCCUUCGGGGGUGCUCAGUGCCGGAGAGAAGUUGUUAAGUCUGCUACUUGGGGAGUACGUCCGCAAGGAUGAAACUUAAAGGAAUUGGCGGGGGAGCACCGCAACGGGAGGAGCGUGCGGUUUAAUUGGAUUCAACGCCGAAAAACUCACCAGCAGCGACUGUUACAUGAAAGUCAGGUUGAUGACCUUACUAGAUUUUCAGAGAGGAGGUGCAUGGCGUCAGUGACU